This 464-nucleotide ribosomal RNA is filed under the name uncultured beta proteobacterium. RNAcentral describes it as "partial 16S ribosomal RNA". It matches the Rfam family "Bacterial small subunit ribosomal RNA", at positions 338 to 794 of the family's 1533-position model. The record is from RNAcentral. Lineage: Bacteria; Pseudomonadati; Pseudomonadota; Betaproteobacteria.
CCUACGGGAGGCAGCAGUGGGGAAUUUUGGACAAUGGGGGAAACCCUGAUCCAGCCAUUCCGCGUGAGUGAAGAAGGCCUUCGGGUUGUAAAGCUCUUUCGGCAGGAACGAAACGGCGGACUCUAACAUAGUCUGUCAAUGACGGUACCUGAAGAAGAAGCACCGGCUAACUACGUGCCAGCAGCCGCGGUAAUACGUAGGGUGCGAGCGUUAAUCGGAAUUACUGGGCGUAAAGCGUGCGCAGGCGGCUUUGGAAGACGGAUGUGAAAUCCCUGGGCUUAACCUAGGAACUGCGUUCGUGACUGCAAGGCUAGAGUGCGGCAGAGGGGGGUAGAAUUCCACGUGUAGCAGUGAAAUGCGUAGAGAUGUGGAGGAAUACCGAUGGCGAAGGCAGCCCCCUGGGUCGACACUGACGCUCAUGCACGAAAGCGGGGGGAGCAAACAGGAUUAGAUACCCUUGUAGU